This 597-nucleotide long non-coding RNA is filed under the name Gouania willdenowi (blunt-snouted clingfish). Its description in RNAcentral is "lncRNA (ENSGWIG00000016062.1)". The record is from RNAcentral. Lineage: Eukaryota; Metazoa; Chordata; Actinopteri; Blenniiformes; Gobiesocidae.
GUCCCAGCUUCUUGUCUGUGGUUAGUUAGUGGAGCAGGUGUGUAGUUUGGAACUGUUGUGUUUACACACUCAGAGACCAACAGCAGUUUCUUAGUUGCUCUCAAUGCUGCUGUUGCCCUUUGUUGCCUCGUUGCUCCACUUCACCUGCUGCGUUAGAGCUCACCUGUCCAUUCAGUGACACCACCUGACAGGUAGCGCUGUCUGUCUCACACUCAUAUCUUCAGCUCAUCAUCUCAUGACGUAGAGAUGGAUCAGGACACGGUGAAGGAACAACAUGAGAUCCAGACUGAAGAUCAGAGGACCAGGAAGAAGCUCACAUCUGGACCUGGACCCAGCUGUGUGUCCUUUAGAAGUGACCGGUCCAUUGACAAACUCAUUAACUUCAAAGGAGGUCCAUCUACUGACCCACACAGCUUGGAGGGUGUGGAUGGUUCCUCUGGAGCUGAGCCUGACUCCAUUUUUACGGUGUGUAUGUCUACAAAGACACUAAACCUGUGUCAGCCUGUGAUCAAACCACUGUACACACACACACGCACACGCACACAUAGGGGGUGUAUGGGGGGUGGAUUGCUUCUAAAUUCAUGCACACCAAUCUAA